GAUGAACGCUAGCUACAGGCUUAACACAUGCAAGUCGAGGGGAAACGACAUCGAAAGCUUGCUUUUGAUGGGCGUCGACCGGCGCACGGGUGAGUAACGCGUAUCCAACCUGCCCAUCACUUGGGAAUAACCUUGCGAAAGUAAGACUAAUACCCAAUGAUAUCCCACGAAGGCAUCGGAAUGGGAUUAAAGAUUUAUCGGUGAUGGAUGGGGAUGCGUCUGAUUAGCUUGUUGGCGGGGUAACGGCCCACCAAGGCAACGAUCAGUAGGGGUUCUGAGAGGAAGGUCCCCCACAUUGGAACUGAGACACGGUCCACACUCCUACGGGAGGCAGCAGUGAGGAAUAUUGGUCAAUGGGCGAGAGCCUGAACCAGCCAAGUAGCGUGCAGGAAGACGGCCCUAUGGGUUGUAAACUGCUUUUAUAAGGGAAUAAAGUGGGUCACGUGUGACUUUUUGCAUGUACCUUAUGAAUAAGGACCGGCUAAUUCCGUG
This 492-nucleotide ribosomal RNA is filed under the name uncultured bacterium. Its description in RNAcentral is "partial 16S ribosomal RNA". It matches the Rfam family "Bacterial small subunit ribosomal RNA", at positions 28 to 507 of the family's 1533-position model. The record is from RNAcentral.